AACGGUCUAUACCUGCGGUACCUGCGGAAGGAUCAUUAAAGAGAAAACUGCCCUUUGGGUAGAUUUCCCACCCUUUGUUUACUUUACCUUUGUUGCUUUGGCAGGCCCGUCUUCUGACCACCGGCUUCUAGCUGGUCCGUGCCUGCCAGAGGACCCCCAACUCUUGAUUUUAAGUUGUCCGAGUCUUAUAUAAUAGUAAAAACUUUUAACAAUGGAUCUCU
This 221-nucleotide unclassified non-coding RNA is filed under the name soil metagenome. RNAcentral describes it as "partial contains 5.8S ribosomal RNA, internal transcribed spacer 2, and large subunit ribosomal RNA". The record is from RNAcentral.